UACGUGAGUGGCAAGCGUUAUCCGGAAUCAUUGGGCGUAAAGCGUCAGCAGGGGGAUGUUCAAGUGAAAUGUUAAAGCCUUCGACCCAAUCGAAGAUCUGUAUUUCAUACUGUUCAUCUGGAAGAUAGAAGGGGUAAAUAGAAUUUCCGGAGUAGGGGUAAUAUCCGUAGAUACCGGAAGGAACACCAAUAGCGAAGGCAAUUUACUGGUCUAUUCUUG
This 219-nucleotide ribosomal RNA is filed under the name uncultured bacterium. RNAcentral describes it as "partial 16S ribosomal RNA". It matches the Rfam family "Bacterial small subunit ribosomal RNA", at positions 524 to 742 of the family's 1533-position model. The record is from RNAcentral.